This 404-nucleotide ribosomal RNA is filed under the name uncultured bacterium. RNAcentral's name for it is "bacterial SSU rRNA". It matches the Rfam family "Bacterial small subunit ribosomal RNA", at positions 29 to 477 of the family's 1533-position model. The record is from RNAcentral.
AACGAACGCUGGCGGCAGGCCUAACACAUGCAAGUCGAACGCCCGUAGCAAUACGGGAGUGGCAGACGGGUGAGUAACGCGUGGGAACGUGCCCUUCGGUUCGGAAUAACUCAGGGAAACUUGAGCUAAUACCGGAUACGUCCGUAAGGAGAAAGAUUUAUCGCCGAAGGAUCGGCCCGCGUCGGAUUAGCUAAUUGGUGAGGUAACGGCCCACCAAGGCGACGAUCCGUAGCUGGUCUGAGAGGAUGAUCAGCCACACUGGGACUGAGACACGGCCCAGACUCCUACGGGAGGCAGCAGUGGGAAUAUUGGACAAUGGGCGAAAGCCUGAUCCAGCCAUGCCGCGUGAGUGAAGAAGGCCUUAGGGUUGUAAAGCUCUUUCAGCGGGGAAGAUAAUGACGGUA